GACGAACGCUGGCGGCGUGCCUAAUACAUGCAAGUAGAACGCUGAAGAGAGGAGCUUGCUCUUCUUGGAUGAGUUGCGAACGGGUGAGUAACGCGUAGGUAACCUGCCUUGUAGCGGGGGAUAACUAUUGGAAACGAUAGCUAAUACCGCAUAACAAUGGAUGACACAUGUCAUUUAUUUGAAAGGGGCAAUUGCUCCACUACAAGAUGGACCUGCGUUGUAUUAGCUAGUAGGUGAGGUAAUGGCUCACCUAGGCGACGAUACAUAGCCAACCUGAGAGGGUGAUCGGCCACACUGGGACUGAGACACGGCCCAGACUCCUACGGGAGGCAGCAGUAGGGAAUCUUCGGCAAUGGGGGCAACCCUGACCGAGCAACGCCGCGUGAGUGAAGAAGGUUUUCGGAUCGUAAAGCUCUGUUGUAAGUCAAGAACGGGUGUGAGAGUGGAAAGUUCACACUGUGACGGUAGCUUACCAGAAAGGGACGGCUAACUACGUG
RNAcentral lists this ribosomal RNA (497 nucleotides) under uncultured bacterium. RNAcentral's name for it is "partial 16S ribosomal RNA". It matches the Rfam family "Bacterial small subunit ribosomal RNA", at positions 28 to 507 of the family's 1533-position model. The record is from RNAcentral.